UGGGGAAUUUAGGACAAUGGGGGAAACCCUGAUCCAGCCAUCCCGCGUGUGCGAUGAAGGCCUUCGGGUUGUAAAGCACUUUUGGCAGGAAAGAAACGUCAUGGGUUAAUACCCCGUGAAACUGACGGUACCUGCAGAAUAAGCACCGGCUAACUACGUGCCAGCAGCCGCGGUAAUACGUAGGGUGCAAGCGUUAAUCGGAAUUACUGGGCGUAAAGCGUGCGCAGGCGGUUCGGAAAGAAAGAUGUGAAAUCCCAGAGCUCAACUUUGGAACUGCAUUUUUAACUACCGGGCUAGAGUGUGUCAGAGGGAGGUGGAAUUCCGCGUGUAGCAGUGAAAUGCGUAGAUAUGCGGAGGAACACCGAUGGCGAAGGCAGCCUCCUGGGAUAACACUGACGCUCAUGCACGAAAGCGUGGGGAGCAAACAGG
RNAcentral lists this ribosomal RNA (429 nucleotides) under Acidobacteriota bacterium. RNAcentral describes it as "Acidobacteria bacterium partial 16S ribosomal RNA". It matches the Rfam family "Bacterial small subunit ribosomal RNA", at positions 355 to 776 of the family's 1533-position model. The record is from RNAcentral. Lineage: Bacteria; Pseudomonadati; Acidobacteriota.